This 364-nucleotide ribosomal RNA is filed under the name Boophis quasiboehmei. RNAcentral describes it as "partial 16S ribosomal RNA". It matches the Rfam family "Bacterial large subunit ribosomal RNA", at positions 720 to 1222 of the family's 2925-position model. The record is from RNAcentral. Lineage: Eukaryota; Metazoa; Chordata; Amphibia; Anura; Mantellidae.
ACUAAGUGAGCUACUUUAAAGCAGCUAUUAGAGCUAACCCGUCUCUGUCGCAAAAGAGUGGGGUGACUUUAAAGUAGAGGUGAUAGACCUACCGAACUUAGAGAUAGCUGGUUUUUUAAGAAAAGAAUUUUAGUUCAGCCCCAAGCCUUUCGUUAAGCAAAAAACCUUCUUAGGCCUGGGAGUCAUUCAUAUAGGGCACAGCCUAUUUGAAACAGGAUACAACCUAGAAUAUAGGGUAAAACAAUGUGAUUUUUCUAUAAGUGGGCUUGAAAGCAGCCACCUUUCAAAAAGCGUUGUAGCUUAUUGAUACUGAUUAUUUAAUAACCUCAAAAAUGUUUAACCCAUACACACUAUUAAACUAUCC